GUCAAAGAAAGGAAGGCUUACGGUGGAGACCUAGGCACUCAGAGACGAUGAAGGGCGCAGAUACCGGCGAUACGCUUCGGGGAGCUGGUCACAAGCAUAGAUCCGAAGAUUCCCGAAUAGGGCAACCUCUUUUAGAACUCCUUUUUGAAUUCAUAGAAAAGGAAGAGGCAACCCGGUGAACUGAAACAUCUCAGUAGCCGGAGGAAAAGAAAGCAAAAGCGAUUCCCGGAGUAGCGGCGAGCGAAAUGGGAAUAGCCUAAACCACCCUCCCGGAGGGUGGGGUCGUGGGAAUCCUUAGCUGCUUCGCUGCGCGACGCUCCCGUUCUAGCCCAAGGUCUAGGAACAGGACAGAAAAAAUGAGAGACGAAGCAGCUGAAUCCUGCACCAUAGAUGGUGAAAGUCCAGUAGUCAACCAUUUCGAAAUAAAGGAAAAUCCCGAGUAGCAUGGGGCACGUGGAAUCCCGUGUGAAUCUGCGAGGACCACCUCGUAAGGCUAAAUACUCCUGAGUGACCGAUAGUGAAGAAGUACAGCGAUGGAAAGGUGAAACAGAACCCCCGUAGGGGAGUGAAAUAGAACAUGAAACCGUAAGCUGACAAGCAGUGGGAGGAUAUGCGCUAGCGCAGAAUAUCUGACCGCGUGCCUGUUGAAGAAUGAGCCGGCGACUUAUAGGAAGUGGCAGGGUUAAGGAAGAACCUCCGGAGCCCAAGCGAAAGCGAGUCUGAAUAGGGCGACUUCGUCACUUCUUAUGGACCCGAACCUGGAUGAUCUAAUCAUGGCCAAGUUGAAGCUUGGGUAACACUAAGUGGAGGACUGAACCCACCGAUGUUGAAAAAUCGGGGGAUGAGCUGUGAUUAGCGGUGAAAUUCCAAUCGAAUUCAGAGCUAGCUGGAUCUCCCCGAAAUGCGUUGAGGCGCAGCGGCGACGACGUCCUGUCUAAGGGUAGAGCGACUGUUUCGGUGCGGGCUGCGAAAGCGGUACCAAGUCGUGGCAAACUCCGAAUAUUAGGCAAUGGAUUCCGUGAGCCAGUGAGACAGUGGGGGACAAGCUUCAUUGUCAAGAGGGAAACAGCCCAGACCAUCAGCUAAGGCCCCUAAAUGACUGCUAAGUGGAAAAGGAUGUGAGAAUGCUGAAACAACCAGGAGGUUCGCUUAGAAGCAGCUAUUCCUUGAAAGAGUGCGUAAUAGCUCACUGGUAAAGCGUUCUUGCGCCGACAAUGGCCGGGACUAAGCAGCCUGCCGAAGCUAUGGGAUUUGUUCUUUUCUUACAAAAUCUUUAGAAGAAAAGUCACAAACAAAUCGGUAGGGGAGCGUACAGCAUAGGGUGAAGCUUUGACGUGAGUCUUGGUGGACGGUGCUGUAGUGAGAAUGUCGGCUUGAGUAACGAAAACAUUGGUGAGAAUCCAAUGCCCCGAAAACCUAAGGGUUCCUCUACAAGGUUCGUCCGUGGGGGGUGAGUCAGGACCUAAGGCGAGGCCGAGCGGCGUAGUCGAUGGCAAACAGGUUAAUAUUCCUGUACUCAUUUUUGUGGGAACCGAGGGACGAAGAAAGCUAAGUUGGGUCUAUUUGUGGAUUGUAGUGGAAACGUUCAAGGCGACGAAAGGUCGAAGAAAAACGAAUCUUGAGCUGAGGCGUGAUCCCGCUUUCUAGACUUGUUCUGGACAAGCGCCAAUGACGUUAUACUUCCAAGAAAAGCUCGUACACCUCUAAAAGUUAUUUUAGAAAAACACAAAAAUGACCUGUACCAUAAACCGACACAGGUAGGUUGGUAGAGAAUACUGAGGGGCGCGAGAGAACUCUCUCUAAGGAACUCGGCAAACUAGCCCCGUAACUUCGGAAGAAGGGGCGCCUCCUUUGUGAAGCAGGGGGGGUCGCAGCGAGUCGGUUCUGGCAACUGUUUAUCAAAAACACAGGUCUCCGCAAAGUCGUAAGACAACAUAUGGGGGCUGACGCCUGCCCAGUGCCGGAAGGUCAAGGAAGUUGGUUAGAGGUUUUUACUUCGAAGCUGACGACCGAAGCCCCGGUGAACGGCGGCUGUAACUAUGACAGUCCCUAAGGUAGCGAAAUUCAUUGUCGAGUAAGUUUCGACCUGCACGAAAGGCGUAAUGAUCAGAACGCUGUCUCGGAGAGAGGCUCGGUGAAAUAGACUUGUCCGUGAAGAUGCGGACUACUAAUACUUGGACAGAAAGACCCUAUGAAGCUUGACUGUAUCCUGGAAUUGGGUUCGGGCUUUUCUUGCGCAGCCUAGGUGGGAGGCGUUGAAGAUUUCCUUCCGGGGAAGUUGGAGCCAUCAUUGAGAGACCACUCUGGAGAGGCUAGAAUCCUAAUGGUGAUCCUUGAAUCAGGACACUUGACAGUUUCAGGUGGGCAGUUUUUCUGGGGCGGAAGCCUCAUAAAAGGUAACUGAGGCGCGCAAAGGUUCCCUCAGUCUGGACGGAAAUCAGACAGCGAGUGUAAAGGCAAAAGGGAGCUUGACUGCAAGACCUACAAGUCGAGCAGGAGCGAAAGCUGGCCUUAGUGAUCCGACGGUGCCGUGUGGAAGGGCCGUCGCUCAACGAAUAAAAGUUACUCUAGGGAUAACAGGCUGAUCUUCUCCAAGAGUUCACAUCGACGAGAAGGUUUGGCACCUGAUGUCGGCUCAUCACAUCCUGGGGCUGUAGUAGGUCCCAAGGGUUGGGCUGUUCGCCCAUUAAAGUGGUACGUGAGCUGGGUUCAGAACGUCGUAAGACAGUUCGGUCCAUAUCCGGUAUUAGCGUUAGAAUAUUGAGGUCAGUCGCUCAUAGUACGAGAGGACCUGUAGCGAACAUGCCAAUGGUGUACCUGUUAUUUUUCCAAAAGUAAACGCAGGGUAGCCACGCAUGGAGUGAAUAAGUACUGAAUGCAUCUAAGUACGAAGUCCAGACCAAGAUGAGUAUUCUCCAUAAAGCCGCAGCAAGACAAGCUGUCGUAUAGGUAUCAAGUGUAAGGCCAGUAAUGGUUUCAGCUGAGAUAUACUAAAGGCUAAUUGAUUUUGAC
RNAcentral lists this ribosomal RNA (3012 nucleotides) under Coelastrella saipanensis. RNAcentral's name for it is "large subunit ribosomal RNA". It matches the Rfam family "Bacterial large subunit ribosomal RNA". The record is from RNAcentral. Lineage: Eukaryota; Viridiplantae; Chlorophyta; Chlorophyceae; Sphaeropleales; Scenedesmaceae.